GUAGGUGGCAAGCGUUGUCCGGAAUUAUUGGGGCGUAAAGCGCGCGCAGGCGGUUCUUUAAGUCUGAUGUGAAAGCCCACGGGCUCAACCGUGGAGGGUCAUUGGAAACUGGAGAACUUGAGUACAGAAGAGGAAAGCGGAAUUCCACGUGUAGCGGUGAAAUGCGUAGAGAUGUGGAGGAACACCAGUGGCGAAGGCGGCUUUCUGGUCUGUAACUGACGCUGAGGCGCGAAAGUGUGGGGAGCAAACAGGAUUAGAUACCCUGGUAGUCCACGCCGUAAACGAUGAGUGCUAAGUGUUAGGGGGUUUCCGCCCCUUAGUGCUGCAGCUAACGCAUUAAGCACUCCGCCUGGGGAGUACGGCCGCAAAGGCUG
This 374-nucleotide ribosomal RNA is filed under the name uncultured organism. RNAcentral describes it as "partial 16S ribosomal RNA". It matches the Rfam family "Bacterial small subunit ribosomal RNA", at positions 527 to 896 of the family's 1533-position model. The record is from RNAcentral.